AGAGUUUGAUUAUGGCUCAGGAUGAACGCUAGCGGCAGGCUUAAUACAUGCAAGUCGAACGGGAUUCAGGUAGCAAUACUUGAUGAGAGUGGCGCACGGGUGCGUAACACGUAUGCAACCUACCUUUAACUGGUGAAUAGCCCCGGGAAAUCGGGAUUAAUACACCAUAACAUUACAAGAGGGCAUCCUCUAAUAAUUAAAGAACUUCGGUUAAAGGUGGGCAUGCGGGACAUUAGCUAGUUGGUGAGGUAACGGCUCACCAAGGCAACGAUGUCUAGGGGUCCUGAGAGGGUUAUCCCCCACACUGGUACUGAGACACGGACCAGACUCCUACGGGAGGCAGCAGUAAGGAAUAUUGGUCAAUGGGCGCAAGCCUGAACCAGCCAUGCCGCGUGAAAAGGAAGACGGCGCUAUGCGUUGUAAACUUCUUUUGUCAGGGAAUAAAUGUAGGUACGUGUACUUACUUGAAGGUACCUGAAGAAUAAGCAUCGGCUAACUCCGUGCCAGCAGCCGC
Molecule: ribosomal RNA, 514 nt
Filed under: uncultured bacterium
Lineage: Bacteria
Description: bacterial SSU rRNA
Rfam family: Bacterial small subunit ribosomal RNA
Source: RNAcentral